This 322-nucleotide long non-coding RNA is filed under the name Hordeum vulgare. Its description in RNAcentral is "long non-coding RNA (HVUL_LNC006886)". Lineage: Eukaryota; Viridiplantae; Streptophyta; Magnoliopsida; Poales; Poaceae. The record is from RNAcentral.
AGUCUUGUGAGUACUUUGGAUGAGUACUCACCGUUGCUUUUCUCCCCCUUUUCCCUUGAUACUACUGAUGCGACCAGAUGACGGAGCCCAGGAGUUGGCGUAUCUCGCCGAUGACGUAUGCUACCCCGACGGUGCCGACUACUACGUGGAGGUCACUGACGACCAGGAGUAGUUUAGGAGCUUGUAUCUUUUGUGCUAGCCUUCUCUAAGGCAUCUCCUUGUUUUAUGUCUGUACUUAGAUAUUUGUUGCUUUCACUGACUCGUGUGUUUCUCGAGCUUUUGUAUUCUAGCCCUCGAGGCCCCUCGCUUGUAAUAUGAAGCU